AGAUUGAACGCUGGCGGCAUGCCUUACACAUGCAAGUCGAACGGCAGCACGGGGGCAACCCUGGUGGCGAGUGGCGAACGGGUGAGUAACAUAUCGGAACGUGCCCUGGAGUGGGGGAUAACUGGUCGAAAGAUUAGCUAAUACCGCAUACGAUCUACGGAUGAAAGUGGGGGAUCGCAAGACCUCAUGCUCGUGGAGCGGCCGAUAUCUGAUUAGCUAGUUGGUGGGGUAAAGGCCUACCAAGGCAUCGAUCAGUAGCUGGUCUGAGAGGACGACCAGCCACACUGGGACUGAGACACGGCCCAGACUCCUACGGGAGGCAGCAGUGGGGAAUUUUGGACAAUGGGCGCAAGCCUGAUCCAGCAAUGCCGCGUGAGUGAAGAAGGCCUUGGUGUAAAGCUCUUUGUCAGGAAGAAACGGUGGAGGCUAAUACCUUCUGCUAAUGACGGUACCUGAAGAAUAAGCAACCGGCUAACGUACGU
RNAcentral lists this ribosomal RNA (482 nucleotides) under uncultured soil bacterium. RNAcentral describes it as "bacterial SSU rRNA". It matches the Rfam family "Bacterial small subunit ribosomal RNA", at positions 26 to 506 of the family's 1533-position model. The record is from RNAcentral.